Molecule: long non-coding RNA, 789 nt
Filed under: Homo sapiens (human)
Lineage: Eukaryota; Metazoa; Chordata; Mammalia; Primates; Hominidae
Description: non-protein coding lnc-MAP9-5:1
Source: RNAcentral
UUCAUUGAUCUUCCCACAUCAUCUAACCUUUCUAUAUCAUGAAACUUUGGCUCACUUUUUGGUGCCUGCCUAACCCUCCAAAUCAUUACAGGACAGGACUGCUUUUGGCCAUGCACUACACAUCAGACACCUCAACUGCCUUCUCUUCAGUCACUCAUAUCAGCCGACAUGUAAACUUCGGCUGAAUUGUUCGCUAUUUUCAUGCUAAUGGCAGUUCAAUAUUUUUUAUCUGCGUCUUCUUACACAUUGGCUGAGGUUUAUACUAUAGAUCAUUUACAUUCCUAGAAACCUGAAAUAUUGGCAUCAUCCUCCUACUCAAAACAAUGGCAACAGCAUUCAUAGGCUACAUGCUCCCAUGAGGCCAGAUAUCAUUCUGAGGCGCUACAGUAAUUACAAAUCUACUAUCAGCCAUCCGAUAUAUUGGAACUGACCUUGUGCAAUAAAUCUGAGGUGGGUUCUCAGUCGACAAAGCCACCCUUACAUGAUUCUUCACUUUCCAUUUCAUCUUACCUUCAUCAUUACAGCCCUAGCAGCUGUUCACCUUUAAUUCCUACAUGAAACAGGAUCUAAUAACCCUUCAGGGUUUUCAUCAGACCCUGACAACAUUACCUUCCACCCCUACCAUACUACCAAAGACAUUUUAGGUUUAAUUUUUCUCCUCCUCCUCCUAAUAAUUCUAGUACUAUUUUCGCCUGACCUCCUGGGCGACCCAGAUAACUAUGCAUUAGCCAACCCCCUCAACACCCCAUCCCACAUUAAGCCAGAGUGGUACAUUUUGUUUGCCUAUGC